AUGUCUGAAAGGCUGUGGUCCAAGGCCAUUUUUGUUGGCUAUGAGCUGGGUCUCCAGAACCAAAGGGAAUGUGCAUCUCUCUUUUGAAUUGAAGGCGUUUAUGCCCAUGAUGAAACUUAACUUUAUUUGGGCAAGAGUUGUGUUUAUGUAUACAAUGCAAAGAACAACACAGUGACUCCUGGUAGUAAACCAAACAAAACCAGACCAAGAGUAAUCUUGAGAAAGGUAACUCCAGUGCAUGGAAACAAUGGCAUGGUUUGUGCCAAAUUCCAAAGCAAUCUUUUGGCUAAGGCCAUUGGACACAGAAUCUGUAUGAUACUGUACCCCUUAAGGAUUAAA
This 339-nucleotide long non-coding RNA is filed under the name Homo sapiens (human). RNAcentral describes it as "non-protein coding lnc-SEMA6A-9:1". Lineage: Eukaryota; Metazoa; Chordata; Mammalia; Primates; Hominidae. The record is from RNAcentral.